AUAUGAUAUCUUAUUCAUACAUCCCUAACUAAAGCAUGAGUAUGCUUUAUACUUACCUCUUUUAAACAUUUUGUGUAACAGAAAAUGCUCGAAUAUUAAUCUUUUGCUACGGUCUUCUUAAUCUAGUUUUGUAUAACAAUACAAAAAGGCAUCGCCUUGAGAUUUUAAAUCAGUAAGGUGCUGUUAACUCGGCACCGCAUGAG
Molecule: unclassified non-coding RNA, 203 nt
Filed under: Hevea brasiliensis (rubber tree)
Lineage: Eukaryota; Viridiplantae; Streptophyta; Magnoliopsida; Malpighiales; Euphorbiaceae
Source: RNAcentral